This 716-nucleotide ribosomal RNA is filed under the name Microbacterium sp. RNAcentral describes it as "bacterial SSU rRNA". It matches the Rfam family "Bacterial small subunit ribosomal RNA", at positions 104 to 833 of the family's 1533-position model. Lineage: Bacteria; Bacillati; Actinomycetota; Actinomycetes; Micrococcales; Microbacteriaceae. The record is from RNAcentral.
GGGUGAGUAACACGUGAGCAACCUGCCCCUGACUCUGGGAUAAGCGCUGGAAACGGCGUCUAAUACCGGAUAUGAGACACAAUCGCAUGGUUCGUGUUUGGAAAGAUUUUUCGGUUGGGGAUGGGCUCGCGGCCUAUCAGCUUGUUGGUGAGGUAAUGGCUCACCAAGGCGUCGACGGGUAGCCGGCCUGAGAGGGUGACCGGCCACACUGGGACUGAGACACGGCCCAGACUCCUACGGGAGGCAGCAGUGGGGAAUAUUGCACAAUGGGCGAAAGCCUGAUGCAGCAACGCCGCGUGAGGGACGACGGCCUUCGGGUUGUAAACCUCUUUUAGCAAGGAAGAAGCGAAAGUGACGGUACUUGCAGAAAAAGCGCCGGCUAACUACGUGCCAGCAGCCGCGGUAAUACGUAGGGCGCAAGCGUUAUCCGGAAUUAUUGGGCGUAAAGAGCUCGUAGGCGGUUUGUCGCGUCUGCUGUGAAAACUGGGGGCUCAACCCCCAGCCUGCAGUGGGUACGGGCAGACUAGAGUGCGGUAGGGGAGAUUGGAAUUCCUGGUGUAGCGGUGGAAUGCGCAGAUAUCAGGAGGAACACCGAUGGCGAAGGCAGAUCUCUGGGCCGUAACUGACGCUGAGGAGCGAAAGGGUGGGGAGCAAACAGGCUUAGAUACCCUGGUAGUCCACCCCGUAAACGUUGGGAACUAGUUGUGGGGUCCAUU